GAGAUCGGGAGCGGGAGCCUGAGGCGGCGAGCUCCCGGGGCAGCCCUGUGCGCGUGAAGCGGGAGGUCGAGCCAGCGAGCGCGCGCGAGGCCCCGGCUUCUGUUGUCCCGUUUGUGCGGGUGAAGCGGGAGCGCGAGGUCGAUGAGGACUCGGAGCCUGAGCGGGAGGUGCGAGCAAAGAAUGGCCGAGUGGAUUCUGAGGACCGGAGGAGCCGCCACUGCCCAUACCUGGACACCAUUAACAGGAGUGUGCUGGACUUCGACUUUGAGAAACUGUGUUCUAUCUCCCUCUCACACAUCAAUGCUUACGCCUGUCUGGUGUGUGGCAAGUACUUUCAAGGCCGAGGUUUGAAGUCUCACGCCUACAUUCACAGUGUCCAGUUUAGCCACCAUGUUUUCCUCAACCUCCACACCCUCAAGUUUUACUGCCUUCCAGACAACUAUGAGAUCAUUGAUUCCUCAUUGGAGGAUAUCACGUAUGUGUUGAAGCCCACUUUCACAAAGCAGCAAAUUGCAAACUUGGACAAGCAAGCCAAAUUGUCCCGGGCAUAUGAUGGUACCACUUACCUGCCGGGUAUCGUGGGACUGAAUAACAUAAAGGCCAAUGAUUAUGCCAACGCUGUCCUUCAGGCUCUAUCUAAUGUUCCUCCUCUCCGGAACUACUUUCUGGAAGAAGACAAUUAUAAGAACAUCAAACGUCCUCCAGGGGAUAUCAUGUUCUUGUUGGUCCAGCGUUUUGGAGAGCUGAUGAGAAAGCUCUGGAACCCUCGAAAUUUCAAGGCACAUGUGUCUCCCCAUGAGAUGCUUCAGGCGGUUGUACUUUGCAGUAAGAAGACUUUUCAGAUCACCAAACAAGGGGAUGGAGUCGACUUUCUGUCUUGGUUUCUGAAUGCUCUGCACUCAGCUCUGGGGGGCACAAAGAAGAAAAAGAAGACUAUUGUGACUGAUGUUUUCCAGGGGUCCAUGAGGAUCUUCACUAAAAAGCUUCCCCAUCCUGAUCUGCCAGCAGAAGAAAAAGAGCAGUUGCUCCAUAAUGACGAGUACCAGGAGACGAUGGUGGAGUCCACUUUUAUGUACCUGACGCUGGACCUUCCUACUGCCCCCCUCUACAAGGACGAGAAGGAGCAGCUCAUCAUUCCCCAAGUGCCACUCUUCAACAUCCUGGCCAAGUUCAAUGGCAUCACUGAGAAGGAAUAUAAGACUUACAAGGAGAACUUUCUGAAGCGCUUCCAGCUUACCAAGCUGCCUCCAUAUCUAAUCUUUUGUAUCAAGAGAUUCACUAAGAACAACUUCUUUGUUGAGAAGAAUCCAACUAUUGUCAAUUUCCCUAUUACAAAUGUGGAUCUGAGAGAAUACUUGUCUGAAGAAGUACAAGCAGUACACAAGAAUACCACCUAUGACCUCAUUGCCAACAUCGUGCAUGACGGCAAGCCCUCCGAGGGCUCCUACCGGAUCCACGUGCUUCAUCAUGUGAGUGGCUGCUGACUGUCUCCUGGCACAGAGUGGCAAAAACAGCUGUUUCUUUGGCAUCUCAGAGGGCAGCUCCCUUCAGUUUGUCCUUGCUUGGCCUUGGCUUUGGGACUCUGCAAGUAACAGUGCUGUCAGUAGUUAGUUUAAGGCAGUGGUUCUCAAUUUUGGCUACACAUUGGACUCACCUUGGG
This 1660-nucleotide small RNA is filed under the name Pongo abelii (Sumatran orangutan). Its description in RNAcentral is "retained intron". Lineage: Eukaryota; Metazoa; Chordata; Mammalia; Primates; Hominidae. The record is from RNAcentral.